Molecule: ribosomal RNA, 419 nt
Filed under: uncultured bacterium
Lineage: Bacteria
Description: bacterial SSU rRNA
Rfam family: Bacterial small subunit ribosomal RNA
Source: RNAcentral
GAUGAACGCUAGCGGCAGGCCUAACACAUGCAAGUCGAGGGGUAACAUAGUUUGCUUGCAAACUGAUGACGACCGGCGCACGGGUGCGGAACGCGUAUCGAACCUGCCCCCUUCAGGAGGAUAGCCCAUGGAAACGUGGAUUAAUACUCCAUAGUACCAUACCACUGCAUGGUGGAAUGGUUAAAGAUCUAUCGGAAGGGGAUGGCGAUGCGUGCCAUUAGCUAGUUGGUAAGGUAACGGCUUACCAAGGCGACGAUGGCUAGGGGCCCUGAGAGGGGGAUCCCCCACACUGGUACUGAGACACGGACCAGACUCCUACGGGAGGCAGCAGUGAGGAAUAUUGGACAAUGGCCGGAAGGUUGAUCCAGCCAUGCCGCGUGCGGGAUGACGGCCCUACGGGUUGUAACCGCUUUUUUACA